Molecule: long non-coding RNA, 416 nt
Filed under: Ananas comosus (pineapple)
Lineage: Eukaryota; Viridiplantae; Streptophyta; Magnoliopsida; Poales; Bromeliaceae
Description: long non-coding RNA (ACOM_LNC005294)
Source: RNAcentral
ACGAGUAUUUUGCUUUUUGGUUUUUUCAAAUAUACGAUUCUACCAUCACCAAUAUUUCUUAUUUGCCCUUAAGUUAAGGAAAAAUGUGGUAUUUUAAUUUUUUUUUAACUGUGGUAGAUGUUUAACUCACGUUUAAUCCAAGUUAACUUAACGGGUGAUAACUGUAGGGGUAUUUUAUAGUAACGGAGGAACAUAUGAGGGAUAUAUUGGAAAGAAAAAAAAGAGGUAAAUGAGACAUUUCUGAAGUUUUGAGAGAUAUAUGUGCAAUUAUCCCUCAGAAAUAAUACAAGAAAAAAAUAGAAACAAAAUACUCAUAAACUCUUGAGUAAUUUGUGACCCGUCUUGUGAGAGAGAGAAACCACAUCUUCUAUUAAGCUAUUGUUCUAGAGGGUCUUGAACAGUAAAUUCAAGAUUGU